RNAcentral lists this long non-coding RNA (429 nucleotides) under Phoenix dactylifera (date palm). RNAcentral's name for it is "long non-coding RNA (PDAC_LNC006834)". Lineage: Eukaryota; Viridiplantae; Streptophyta; Magnoliopsida; Arecales; Arecaceae. The record is from RNAcentral.
ACAGUCCUGAGCAUCUAGUGGAGUGCUGCCCUAGUCUGCCUAACAUAAAGGCCGAGCAAGCAAAUGCUCUAAAUUCAUAUAGUGCCUUUAAGAAGCCCACUCCCAACUCGUUCAGCCCAGUUUACCACCCUGAUAAUAGGUUCCACCCAAAUUUCUCAUACAAGCAAAAUGAACCUAUUCAGCAUCAAGGUGGUCCACCAGAUUUUCAGAACAACUUCCCCAGGAUAGGUCCACCACAAAUGAACCAACCUUUGGUUCCAUCUGUACCGCCUUAUAAUGCCCCUAUCCCACAGCAACCUUCACAAUUAGAAUCCAUGAUGGCUAAUAUGAUGAAACAACAACAAGAUUUUAUCAAGCAACAACAACAGACCAAUACAGCCCAAGCCCAGACUAACCAAUUCCAUGCGCAAGCAAUUGCAAAACUUGAGG